GACGAACGCUGGCGGCGUGCUUAACACAUGCAAGUCGAACGGAAAGGCCCUGCUUUUGUGGGGUGCUCGAGUGGCGAACGGGUGAGUAACACGUGAGUAACCUGCCCUUGACUUUGGGAUAACUUCAGGAAACUGGGGCUAAUACCGGAUAGGAGCUCCUGCCGCAUGGUGGGGGUUGGAAAGUUUCGGCUGUUGGGGAUGGACUCGCGGCUUAUCAGCUUGUUGGUGGGGUAGUGGCUUACCAAGGCUUUGCCCGGUAGCCGGGCUGAGAGGGUGACCGGCCACAUUGGGACUGAAAUACGGCCCAGACUCCUACGGGAGGCAGCAGUGGGGAAUAGUGCACAAUGGGCUGAAGCCUGAUGCAGCAACGCCGCGUGCGGGAUGACGGCCUUCGGGUUGUAAACCGCUUUCGCCUGUGACGAAGCGUGAGUGACGGUAAUGGGUAAAGAAGCACCGGCUAACUACGUG
RNAcentral lists this ribosomal RNA (468 nucleotides) under uncultured bacterium. RNAcentral describes it as "partial 16S ribosomal RNA". It matches the Rfam family "Bacterial small subunit ribosomal RNA", at positions 28 to 507 of the family's 1533-position model. The record is from RNAcentral.